GGUGACUGCGUACCUUUUGUAUAAUGGGUCAGCGACUUAUAUUCUGUAGCAAGGUUAACCGCAUAGGGGAGCCGAAGGGAAACCGAGUCUUAAUUGGGCGUUAAGUUGCAGGGUAUAGACCCGAAACCCGGUGAUCUAGCCAUGGGCAGGUUGAAGGUUGGGUAACACUAACUGGAGGACCGAACCGACUAAUGUUGAAAAAUUAGCGGAUGACCUGUGGCUGGGGGUGAAAGGCCAAUCAAACCGGGAGAUAGCUGGUUCUCCCCGAAAGCUAUUUAGGUAGCGCCUCGUGAAUUCAUCUCCGGGGGUAGAGCACUGUUUCGGCUAGGGGGCCAUCCCGGCUUACCAACCCGAUGCAAACUGCGAAUACCGGAGAAUGUUAUCACGGGAGACACACGGCGGGUGCUAACGUCCGUCGUGAAGAGGGAAACAACCCAGACCGCCAGCUAAGGUCCCAAAGUCAUGGUUAAGUGGGAAACGAUGUGGGAAGGCCCAGACAGCCAGGAUGUUGGCUUAGAAGCAGCCAUCAUUUAAAGAAAGCGUAAUAGCUCACUGGUCGAGUCGGCCUGCGCGGAAGAUGUAACGGGGCUAAACCAUGCACCGAAGCUGCGGCAGCGACACUUUAGUGUUGUUGGGUAGGGGAGCGUUCUGUAAGCCGUUGAAGGUGUCCUGUGAGGGGUGCUGGAGGUAUCAGAAGUGCGAAUGCUGACAUAAGUAACGAUAAAGCGGGUGAAAAGCCCGCUCGCCGGAAGACCAAGGGUUCCUGUCCAACGUUAAUCGGGGCAGGGUGAGUCGACCCCUAAGGCGAGGCCGAAAGGCGUAGUCGAUGGGAAACGGGUUAAUAUUCCCGUACUUGGUGUUACUGCGAAGGGGGGACGGAGAAGGCUAUGUUGGCCGGGCGACGGUUGUCCCGGUUUAAGCGUGUAGGUGUGUGUUCCAGGUAAAUCCGGUUCACUUUAACACUGAGGCGUGAUGACGAGGCACCACGGUGCUGAAGCAACAAAUGCCCUGCUUCCAGGAAAAGCCUCUAAGCAUCAGGUAACAUCAAAUCGUACCCCAAACCGACACAGGUGGUCAGGUAGAGAAUACCAAGGCGCUUGAGAGAACUCGGGUGAAGGAACUAGGCAAAAUGGUGCCGUAACUUCGGGAGAAGGCACGCUGACACGUAGGUGAAGUGAUUUACUCAUGGAGCUGAAGUCAGUCGAAGAUACCAGCUGGCUGCAACUGUUUAUUAAAAACACAGCACUGUGCAAACACGAAAGUGGACGUAUACGGUGUGACGCCUGCCCGGUGCCGGAAGGUUAAUUGAUGGGGUCAGCGCAAGCGAAGCUCCUGAUCGAAGCCCCGGUAAACGGCGGCCGUAACUAUAACGGUCCUAAGGUAGCGAAAUUCCUUGUCGGGUAAGUUCCGACCUGCACGAAUGGCGUAAUGAUGGCCAGGCUGUCUCCACCCGAGACUCAGUGAAAUUGAACUCGCUGUGAAGAUGCAGUGUACCCGCGGCAAGACGGAAAGACCCCGUGAACCUUUACUAUAGCUUGACACUGAACAUUGAGCCUUGAUGUGUAGGAUAGGUGGGAGGCUUUGAAGCGUGGACGCCAGUCUGCGUGGAGCCGACCUUGAAAUACCACCCUUUAAUGUUUGAUGUUCUAACGUGGACCCGUAAUCCGGGUUGCGGACAGUGUCUGGUGGGUAGUUUGACUGGGGCGGUCUCCUCCUAAAGAGUAACGGAGGAGCACGAAGGUUGGCUAAUCCUGGUCGGACAUCAGGAGGUUAGUGCAAUGGCAUAAGCCAGCUUGACUGCGAGCGUGACGGCGCGAGCAGGUGCGAAAGCAGGUCAUAGUGAUCCGGUGGUUCUGAAUGGAAGGGCCAUCGCUCAACGGAUAAAAGGUACUCCGGGGAUAACAGGCUGAUACCGCCCAAGAGUUCAUAUCGACGGCGGUGUUUGGCACCUCGAUGUCGGCUCAUCACAUCCUGGGGCUGAAGUAGGUCCCAAGGGUAUGGCUGUUCGCCAUUUAAAGUGGUACGCGAGCUGGGUUUAGAACGUCGUGAGACAGUUCGGUCCCUAUCUGCCGUGGGCGCUGGAAGACUGAGGGGGGCUGCUCCUAGUACGAGAGGACCGGAGUGGACGCAUCACUGGUGUUCGGGUUGUCAUGCCAAUGGCACUGCCCGGUAGCUAAAUGCGGAAAAGAUAAGUGCUGAAAGCAUCUAAGCACGAAACUUGCCCCGAGAUGAGUCUUCCCUGAGACUUUGA
RNAcentral lists this ribosomal RNA (2251 nucleotides) under Salmonella enterica. Its description in RNAcentral is "bacterial LSU rRNA". It matches the Rfam family "Bacterial large subunit ribosomal RNA", at positions 592 to 2824 of the family's 2925-position model. The record is from RNAcentral. Lineage: Bacteria; Pseudomonadati; Pseudomonadota; Gammaproteobacteria; Enterobacterales; Enterobacteriaceae.